CUUCCAACAGGCCUUAGCUUCCGUUUAGGAGUCAAGACCCGGACAUUAUGAUGACUCAGGUUCUUUGGAAUUCAAG
Long non-coding RNA from Lucilia sericata (common green bottle fly), 76 nucleotides. RefSeq lists it as uncharacterized. The transcript has 3 exons. Lineage: Eukaryota; Metazoa; Arthropoda; Insecta; Diptera; Calliphoridae. The record is from RefSeq and is a predicted model, not a curated record.